AUUGAACGCUGGCGGCAUGCUUUACACAUGCAAGUCGAACGGUAACAGGCCUUCGGGUGCUGACGAGUGGCGAACGGGUGAGUAAUGCAUCGGAACGUGCCCAAUCGUGGGGGAUAACGUAGCGAAAGUUACGCUAAUACCGCAUAAGCCCUGAGGGGGAAAGCAGGGGAUCGCAAGACCUUGCGCGAAUGGAGCGGCCGAUGUCAGAUUAGCUAGUUGGUGGGGUAAUGGCCUACCAAGGCAACGAUCUGUAGCGGGUCUGAGAGGAUGAUCCGCCACACUGGGACUGAGACACGGCCCAGACUCCUACGGGAGGCAGCAGUGGGGAAUUUUGGACAAUGGGCGCAAGCCUGAUCCAGCCAUGCCGCGUGCGGGACGAAGGCCUUCGGGUUGUAAACCGACUUUCUAGCCGGAAAGAAAUACGCCGUUUUUAAUUACUAGACGGUGGAGUGACGGUACCGGAAGAAGAAGCACCGGCUAACUACGUGCCAGCAGCCGCGG
RNAcentral lists this ribosomal RNA (501 nucleotides) under uncultured bacterium. Its description in RNAcentral is "bacterial SSU rRNA". It matches the Rfam family "Bacterial small subunit ribosomal RNA", at positions 29 to 520 of the family's 1533-position model. The record is from RNAcentral.